Non-coding RNA from Fomes fomentarius, 91 nucleotides. NCBI's taxonomy places the organism in Eukaryota, Fungi, Basidiomycota, Agaricomycetes, Polyporales, Polyporaceae. The record is from the annotation of a GenBank genome assembly.
GAACCCUUGGCGCAGCGGUAGCGCGUGAGAUUCCAGUUUGUCGCUUUCUGGGAAAUCCUCAAGGUCAUCCGUUCAAAUCGGGUAGGGUUCA